RNAcentral lists this transfer RNA (69 nucleotides) under Globitermes sulphureus. RNAcentral's name for it is "tRNA-Phe". It matches the Rfam family "tRNA". Rfam says of the family: Transfer RNA (tRNA) molecules are approximately 80 nucleotides in length. Their secondary structure includes four short double-helical elements and three loops (D, anti-codon, and T loops). Further hydrogen bonds mediate the characteristic L-shaped molecular structure. tRNAs have two regions of fundamental functional importance: the anti-codon, which is responsible for specific mRNA codon recognition, and the 3' end, to which the tRNAs corresponding amino acid is attached (by aminoacyl-tRNA synthetases). tRNAs cope with the degeneracy of the genetic code in two manners: having more than one tRNA (with a specific anti-codon) for a particular amino acid; and 'wobble' base-pairing, i.e. permitting non-standard base-pairing at the 3rd anti-codon position. Lineage: Eukaryota; Metazoa; Arthropoda; Insecta; Blattodea; Termitidae. The record is from RNAcentral.
ACUUGGAUAGCUUAUUGUUAGAGCGCGACACUGAAGAUGUCGAUGAGGUAAUUUAUAUACCUUUAAGUA